CAGCUCUUCAAGUGGUCGGGAUUAUUAUUGGGCCUAAAGCAUCCGUAGCCGGCGCUGUAAGUUUUCGGUUAAAUCUGUACGCUCAACGUACAGGCUGCCGGGAAUACUGCAGCGCUAGGGAGUGGGAGAGGUAGACGGUACUCGGUAGGAAGGGGUAAAAUCCUUUGAUCUAUUGAUGACCACCUGUGGCGAAGGCGGUCUACCAGAACACGUCCGACGGUGAGGGAUGAAAGCUGGGGGAGCAAACCGGAUUAGAUACCCGAGUAGUCC
Molecule: ribosomal RNA, 270 nt
Filed under: uncultured archaeon
Lineage: Archaea
Description: partial 16S ribosomal RNA
Rfam family: Archaeal small subunit ribosomal RNA
Source: RNAcentral